Molecule: long non-coding RNA, 13745 nt
Filed under: Linum usitatissimum (flax)
Lineage: Eukaryota; Viridiplantae; Streptophyta; Magnoliopsida; Malpighiales; Linaceae
Description: long non-coding RNA (LUSI_LNC007930)
Source: RNAcentral
CACCACCACUGUUGUUGAUGGAUCUUACUUGCUAAUGGUUGAUGAUAAGCAGAAGUUCCAAAAUAUAGAACCCAUGGACAUGAAGGCAACACGAGCUUGAAGAGGGAUCAGCCUACAAGAAUGUUGAAGCUCAGCAAACCAUUAUAAUAAUUAGCAAAGCUAAAUAAAAUAUUUCCAAGAUACAGCCUCUCUAAUGGGUCACUUCGUCUCUCUCAGUCAAUUGUCACCAAAAAGAUUCAGGAUACAGCCGCUGUAUCUGCACAAGUUUCACACUGGCCUAAGCCUUUCACGUUUGAAGUAAUAUUCUGAGUCUCACUUAGUAGUUAUAGUAGUUAGUUGUUAUAGAGCUUCAUCAUUUUGUAGAAACUAGCAGGAGAUGCUUAUAGAUCUACCCACAAUAAUAUCACGACAAAAAUUCAACACUGAGAAGUUAGCAACAGAUAUCUACAAAAUGUAAUGCAAAGUUCCAACACCAGGGUUUCAAAAAUAAUACCCAACAAGGGAUAGAAGCAUUACCAAAAGUUCAAUAUACUGACAGGAAUCCAGAACCUAAAUCCUGCAUUGAGCCAAAUAUCAAUAACAGUUUAAAACACAACAAAUCUUACUAAGACAUGUUUCCAUUCCGUACAAGCUUUUACCAGAGAAGAGUGUGGGAAGAGCAUCUCUUUGGUACUUCCCCGGCAGCUGUGAAAGCUUCCCUUGCCACAAGCUAUUCCAUGCAAACACAACAGCAAUCACAGACGGACCAAGUAUUACUUGAUUCAGAACAACCUGGAAGAGAGAACAAUAAAAUGAUACUCUCAAUCAUCUGAUUCGUUAUAGUAUUAUACAGGCCAUGUUAUAACUUAUAACCAGCAGAAAACUGAGCUUCUCUAUAAUCUGAGUCACUAAUGUUAGCAUUCAUAUUCAUAGAUAUCAUGAGUACCUUCAGCACCAAAUUCUGUACUGUCUGCUUAGGUAAACAAUGCUCGAGAUACUGGUACCACGCAUAUGAACCAGGGCCAUACAGAAGAAACCCGUAAGAUGCCAUCCUUAGAGCGCGAAGCCAGUCAUGGUUACAAAGGAACAUCUGCAGUAAUCCAAAUUCAUGUUUCCAGUGAACGGCCAAACAUCAAUACUGCUAGUAUAUAGACAAAAAGCAUAUCAAGCCAAUACAAUAGCAAAAGCCAAAUCAGUAUAGAACAGAAUAGAGUGACACCGAUUCAAAACAGCUAACCACUAAAUGAAAGGAGCAACAAGAACCAACUGUACAGGAGUCUAGUGAUAGUGAAUUUAUGCACAUUGCCGUCAAAAUUGCAGGAAGGUAAAGACCCUAGAGAUGAUCGUUUUGGCAGAGCAUCAAGUUGACAAAUUCAUAUGUAAAAUUGAUCUCAAUCGCUCUCUAUAACAACAUCCCGAAUCAAUUACAAUAAAGCAGCCAACAAAUGUUGUAUCUGCCAGUUUCAAUGGAACUACACACAAGCAGCAGAUGAACUUACUGCCGCCUUAUCGGAUCCAAUAGAAGAGCUGAGCUCGUCUUGCGGUUUGGAGGCGGCUUUGUGCCUGCUCCAAUGCUCAGUAAGUUGAGCUAUAGUGUCGCCGGUGACAGCUAGGGUUCCCGCCGUGAGGGCUUGCUUCAGCGGGAACCGGAAACCGCCGGGCACGUUCACUGAAGUAUGUUGUGAUAUUGCGUGCGGGUGUUACCAGCUGGGCUCCCCGCGGUGGGGGCUUGCUUCAGCGGGAACCGGAAACCGCCGGGCACGUUCACUGAAGUAGGUGAAUUGGAGCCUCCACUCCGACAUGGUUUCCUUUUCUUGUUUCUGUUGUCCCAUCCCCAUCCCUUCAGCCCGCCAUUGCCAAGUCCCCAAAUAGCUUCCAUUUGACCGCCAAUGUUUCUGAGGCGCCAGCACGCCCAACACAAUAGUAUUAAAAUGAAGACUGCAAGUCCAAUGACCAAAAUGGGAAGUACGGUCAAAGUUGAGUGAAUCUCUUAGAACAAAAUAUCAAUAAUUUUUUAUUAAAAAUUAUUUUAUUUAUAUUUUCUCAUACUGGAUUAAGCAAUGAGCCACAGGAAAUGGGUCAGAAAUCCCACAGUAAAGGCUAUUCAAUUUCGUCCAAUUCAGCAACUCCACUGGGCUAGGCCCGGACAGCCACAGAUGCCCCCCAUUUAAAAUUUAAGGACAGCCUCGGUCAACAUAUCGCAAGAAAGUCAAAAUAUCAUAAAAUACGUUAAAUACCACCAUACGAUACGUAUCGCCAAUUUCUUGUGUUUCGAUUUUGGUUUGGAGACUCGAAACGUUUCGCGUUUCUGGGUUUUUUUGUCAUUUUUCAUUUUUCCGUGGUUUUUCAAUUAAACCGAGCAGUCCGCCGUGGCAUUUCGAGUUUGGUCCCGCAAAACCGAAACGUUUCGCCGGAUCAGCUACUAAAUUGUCAGUUCGUUCUUGUUUGGAAGUUUCUCUCUCUCAGAUGCUAUUGAGCCUGUCUUAAUGGUUGUUGAUAUGUCAGCGUAGCCAAGUAACAAUUAGAGCAAAGAACUGUUCGUGGUUUUAUGAAUCUGUCAUAUUACGCUGUCUCAAGACCUGGAUCACUUCUUGGUCAGGAUGCUUUGCCUUGCAGUUGUCACUCGUGAAUCUCCUUGUUUAAUGAGACUAGAUCGAACAUGGAUCAAAGUUGUUCGGUUUACGUAAUUCUGGCAUUGGAUGUCUUUUAACAAUUGAAGAGGUUUGGUUUUCGAGGUACUGUGUGCUUACUACAGAGGAGCCGUAGGUGCAUUACUUGUUUACGAUGUGACUCGGCACUCUACAUUUGAGAAUGCAGCAAGGUGGCUGAGGGAGUCGAGGGACCAUACGGAUCCCAACAUUGUGGUGAUGCUUGUUAGGAAUAUGAAGUUUCAACCAGAAGAGUUGACCAUAUGACCACCUAAUCAAACCAGUACUGAAAACGGCACCGUUGCACUAACGGAAUAAUGAACUUAACGGAACUGGACUUGACCGUUGGAAUUGGAGGGAGAAAUGAUGAACAUGAUCUGAUCUCCCCCCUGAUUAUUCUCAACCAACUCUUUUGAUAUUCCAUGAAUGCAGGAAGUGGAGUUGAUCACGGAACUCGAGCGGUAGCAGUAACAAACCUUGGAUAUAAGCAUAGGUUUGGAGUUCUGGAUGAUAUACACUCGAAACUAGUCUCACAAAUAUCAACUCAAUCCUAGCAUCUAGUUUCAUUCUUGUGAUUACCUUGGGAAGCCUUUCUCGACACUCAGAUUCGUGUGUUGAUCGGGAAAUUGCUUCAAGGGCAGUGGCUUCUCCAUGAUCACACUCUGUUACUUGUAUUAUUCAUAUUUAGUUACGGAUUAUUGCUACUCUAACUAUCAAUCUUGAAGCAAUUUAUUAUCAUAGGAACCUAUGACUACCCUGGCAAAAUCCGUACCUGAUCUGAGCAAACUGGAAGCUCUGGACGGCAGCAACUACAAAAGAUGGUCACUAAGACUCCUAAUCUUCCUAGAACAUCUGGAGAUAGACCAUGUGCUGUUUGAAGAUCCGCCUGUCAGAACAACUGGGGUUCCUGCUUCCUCAUCAGAAACGUCUGUGGACACCAAGGAAAAGGAGCCCUCUAUAACAUCCUUGAUGACUGAGACUCAGAAAUAUGAGAAAGACAACCGGACAGCUCGAGUUCACAUCCUCAGCCAUCUGAGCAAUCUCAUCUUCGACCUAGUGGCGCACAACAAAUCCGCAAGAUCCAUCUGGGAGACCCUGCUAAAGAAAUAUGGAGGAGAAAAUGCUGGAAGGAAGAGAUAUGUUGUGGGGACCUGUCUCAACUUCAAAAUGGUAGACAAUCUGCCUAUCAUGGAUCAGGUUCACAAAUUUGAAAGCCUCACUGCAGACGUCCUAGUUGAUGGAAUGAACAUCUGCAGCAUGUUCCAAGCCAAUUCACUCAUAGAGAAACUACUUGACUCGUGGACCAACUAUAAGCAUCAUCUCAAGCACAAGAAGAAGGACAUGACCGUAGAAGAACUCAUUGGUCACAUCAAGAUAGAGGAAGCAAACAGGAUCAAAGAUAAGUUGUCUCACAGAUCCUCACAUUCAGUCAAUGUUAACCUAAUUGAACCUGAUUACAGGUCCAAAGGAAGAAACCCUAGGAACCCUAACUGACAUCCUAGGAAGACAUCUGGAAAACCAGUGAACUUCAAGAGGCCAGGACAAACUCAGAAAUAUCAAAAGGGAGCCUGCUAUGUGUGUGAAAAGACUAAACACAAGGCUUACCAAUGCACUCAGAGGAGGGACCAACACCACAGAGGAGAAGGAGGACAAAAACCUCAGGUGAACAUUGCUGAAUCCUCUAAAGGAAAGGAAGUUCACAUCACCUUCUCUGCAGUGGUUUCUGAGGCAAACCUGGUGAAAAAUGACACGGAGUGGAUCAUUGACUCUGGUGCAUCAAGACACCUCUGUGGGAUAAGGGAAAUGUUCACUGAGUUUGAAGAAGCUGGACCAGGAGAUUAAGUUUUCAUGGAAAAUUCCAGCACUGCAGUUGUGAUUGGAAAAUGGAGAGUCAAGUUAAAACUCAGUUCUGGAAACCAUUUGGAUUUAUCUAACGUCCUGUUUAUUCCAACUCUUCGCAGAAACCUCAAAUCUGCAGGUCUCCUUAACAAAGCUGGUUUGAAGCUGGUGAUCGAAGCAAACAAGCUGGUCAUCACAAAGAACAAUCUGUUUGUUUGUCAUUUCUGCAAUUGCUAUGAAUGAAAAUGUUGCAUCUUCCUAAUUUGUUGAGUCCUUUAAUCACUGGCAUGGUAGAUUAGGCCACGUAGGCUAUAGCUCCCUAAGGAAGAUGAAAUUUCUGAACCUACUUCCUAAUCUUACCAUUCCUGAAACAUUGCCUAAAUGUCAAAUCUGUGUGAAAUCUAAACCAGUCAGUAAACCUUUCAACCUGGUAAAAACAAGGAAAACUGAACUGUUGGAAUUGAUUCACUCUGAUCUUGCUGAUUUCAGAAAUCAUGAGAGUAGAGGAGGAAAAAAAUACUACAUCACUUUCGUGGAUGACUUCUUUAGAUUUACAAAAGUCUAUUUACUGAAAUCAAAGGACGAAGCAGAAUUAAAAUUUUUGGUGUUUAAGUCUGAAGUAGAAAAUCAGUUGGACAAACGAAUCAAAAGGCUUAGAACAGAUAGAGGAGGAGAGUUUAGCACCUCUUUCCUCAAAGAAACGUAUGAAGCUCAUGGCAUCAUACAUGAGUUAACAGCUCCUUAUUACCCUCAGCAAAACGACAUUGCUGAAAGGAAAAACAGAACUUUAAAAAACAUGAUGAAUGCUAUGCUUCUGAGUUUUGGUCUCCCGAAUGAAAUGUGGGGGAAGCCAUUCUAUCAACAACUAAAAUUCUCAAUAGAGUGCCUCAUAAAACUCUGGCUGUAACUCCUUUUGAACUGUGGUAAGGGUUCCCUCCUAACCUCUCCUUCCUUAGAGUCUGGGGCUGUCUAGCCAAAGUGUCAAUUCCACGUUUUAAGAGAGACAACAUUGGCUCUAAAACGUUUGAUGUAAUUUUUGUUGGUUAUGCAGAACACAGUGCAGCUUACAGGUUCAUGAGAAUGAGUGACAGAAGCAUGUGUGAAUACAGGGAUGCUGAAUUCUUUGAAGAUGUAUUUCCCUGCAUGACUAACUCACAUCCAGAUCGAGAGGUCUCACCUACCAGGUAUCCCCUAACGCCUGAUCAUAUUAGAGAUGACAGCCUUACUUUAAGAAGAAGUAAGCGUACCAGGUAUGAAACCUCCUUUGGACCAGAUUUCAUAACGUCCUUUCUGUCUGAACAUGUUAGUCACAGUGAAUUUACAGACUCCACUAUAUUUGCGUACUUUAUAGAAGAUGACCCUAAAACUUUUGAAGAAGCUAUGAGUUCAGUAGACGCUCAUCUCUGGAAAGAAGCAUCUAACAGUGAACUGGAUUCAAUUAGGGCUAAUCACACUUGGGAUCUAGUAGAUCUUCCAAAAGGUUGUAGGUCAAUUGGAUGCAAAUGGAUAUUUAAGAGAAAACUUAGAACGGAUGGAUCGAUUGAGAGGUUCAAAGCUAGACUAGUCAUUAAAGGUUUUACUCAAAAGAAAGGCAUUGACUUCUUUGAUACCUAUUCUCCAGUAACCAAAAUCGCCACCAUUCGUACAAUGUUUGCUCUAGCAUCUAUCUUUAACAUGCAUGUGCAUCAAAUGGAUGUGAAAAUCACUUUUCUAAAUGGAGACUUGGAUGAGGAGAUCUGCAUGGAUCAACCUCCGGGUUGUGUAGAACCUGGUUUUGAGAACAAGGUCUGUAGACUAAGGAAGUCUCUAUACGGGCUGAAACAAGCUCCAAAACAGUGGUUUGAAAAAUUUCACAACACCAUUACUGGUUAUGGAUUUAGGGCUAAUAGUUCUGACACUUGCAUUUACUCUAAAAUGUUUGACAGUGCCUGUGUUUUCCUAUGUCUCUAUGUAGAUGACAUGAUGAUCUUUAGUACUCACAUGUCAGCCAUAGAAGAAACCAAGUUGUUCCUGUCUAGCAAAUUCGAGAUGAAGGACAUGGGAUCUGUUGACGUGAUAUUGGGAGUCAAGGUAGUUCAACAAGGAACAAAAUACAUCCUAAGCCAAUCUCACUACACAGAAAAACUGCUGAAGAAAUUCGACAGCUGGGAGGUUACACCAGUAAGAACACCUUAUGAUCCCAGUGUACACUUGGAAAAGAACAAGGGUACAGGCAUAGAACAAGAAGACUAUGCAAAAAUUAUUGAAAGCCUAAUGUUCCUAAUGAACUACACCAGACCAGACAUUGGAUAUGCAGUAAAUAGGUUGAGCAGGUACACUCACAACCCUGGGACUGAGCACUGGACAACCCUGAGACGACUACUAAGGUACUUGAGAGGCACAACGGAAUAGAGCCUACAUUAUGGAGGGUUUCCAGGUGUGCUGGAAGGAUACACAGAUGCCAACUGGGUAUCAGACAACGAACAAGUAAGCUCUACAAGUGGUUUUGUCUUCACACUUGGUGGAGCAGCCAUCUCCUGGAAAUCCUCCAAGCAGACUUGUAUUGCUCGAUCAACCAUGGAGUCAGAAUUUAUGGCUCUCGACCUGACUGGACAAGAAGCUGAAUGGUUGAGGUGUCUGCUGUCAGAUUUCCCUAUAUGGGAGAACCCUACUCCAACAAUCUCCCUUUUGUGUGAUUCUCAGGCUGCAAUCUGCAUAGCUCAAAACAAGACAUACAAUGGCAAAAAGAGACAUAUCAGAAUUAGACAUGAAACAGUAAGAAGCCUGUUAGAAACAGGCGUGUUCUCCUUACAAUUUGUAAGAUCAGAAUUCAAUCUAGCCGAUCCUUUGACCAAAGGUCUAUGCAGGAGGAUGAUAGCAGAAUCCUCCAAAGGCAUGGGACUGAUGUCACUCAAGGGGAUGGAAAAUCUGUGACCAGAACCCCCUUCUGCUGAUUUGUUCUUCAGAAGCAGGUCAAACAAAGGUCACAGAAAGAUCCAGGAGGAUGAGUCAAAGGAGACAGAUUGAGCAAGGCCAGUCAGCAGCAGUUGGAAGGUCGAAAGAACUCACUGCACUGAGUCAUUGAGGGACUCAAUGUUCAUAGCCUGGACACCAGGUGGUCUGCAGUGACCUGAUGAACCAGAACAUCUCAUAGUCUGUCAGUUCAGGUGGUUCCAUAUAGGAACUUGAUGAGAUCAAUCCACAAUGUGGGAAACUCAGUAGGCUGCAAGAUAGCCAGUUCAAUGAACUUGAUGAGACAAUCUUGCAGAGAAAGAAGUCUCAUAGGCUGCAAUCCAGCUGGUUCAAUGAACAUGAUGAGAAUGUCAGAUGAAAACCAGAAAAUGAAUUGGUGGAGAUGAUUCUCAACCAAGGUAAUGUUCAGUUUGAACAUCGCUAAUGGAAUGAUCAACCUUUCAAGGGUGCAUGUGCGACUGCUGAACCUGAGGAUAUGGGUUCAAGACCUCAGUCACCUAGCUCCUCAGUUCUUCACGACCACUACGUUCUAGUUCAAGUCAUUCAGACACUAGGACUUAAGUGCAGAAAUUCUUGAAUCUAGUUGAUAUGCAGCUGAAUCUUCAUAUUCGUGGGGGAUUGUUAGGAAUAUGAAGGUUCAACCAGAAGAGUUGACCAUAUGACCACCUAAUCAAACCAGUACUGGAAACGGCACUGUUGCACUAACAGAAUAAUGAACUUAACGGAACUGGACUUGACCGUUGGAAUUGGCGGGAGAAAUGAUGAACAUGAUCUGAUCUCCUCCCUGAUUAUUCUCAACCAACUCUUCUGAUAUUCCAUGAAUGCAGGAAGUGGAGUUGAUCACGAAACUCGAGCAGUAGCAGUAACAAACCUUGGAUAUAAGCAUAGGUUUGGAGUUCUGGAUGAUAUACACUCGAAACUAGUCUCACAAAUAUCAACUCAAUCCUAGCAUCUAGUUUCAUUCUUGUGAUUACCUUGGGAAGACUUUCUCGACACUCAGAUUAGUGUGUUGAUCGGGAAAUUGCUUCAAGGGCAGUGGCUUCUCCACGAUCACACUCUGUUACUUUUAUUGUUCAUAUUUAGUUACGGAUUAUUGCUACUCUAACUAUCAAUGCUCAUCGGCAAUAAAUCGGACCUCAGCCACCUGGUAGCUGUCCGAACAGAGGAAGCUAAAGCAUUUGCUGAAAGGGAAACACUCUACUUUAUGGAGACGUCAGCUCUAACUGCUACCAAUGUGAAGAGCGCCUUCACCCAAGUGCUUAGCCACAUUUACAAGAUCGUCAGCAAGCGUCCGUCACGGGAAGCAGUGAUGGAGCUACCCAUGUUCCUCUCAAGGGAGAGGCCAUCGAUGUUAAGCUGAAUGGUUCUUUGGGUACUACUCUUGUUAGUUCAUGAGUGGGUUUAGCUCAGUGAAUUGUGCUGCUAUAGAUAAAAUGCAUAUGAUCUCUUGAUGUGAGAUUGGGAUAGUUUGGAUCGACGUGUUCUUGUUUGUAUUGCAUGCUGCAAGUAGCUAAGAGUUUGACUGGGAUCGUACGGUCCAGUUUUUUUUCCAGACGCCUUGGGAAAUUAUUCAGACGCAGCAACAGCAGAUAUGGAAAGGGGCAAAGAAGAAUAAUGAAUCAAACAAUAUAAAAAGAAAGCACAUGAACCUCAAAAUCAUUAUGAUCUAAAGACAAAGAGCAUCAUCAAAUUAAUAAAGGAAAUGCUGCCAAAAAGGAACAGCAUAACAGAACGAAUCGAUCAGUCACUCCUGUAUAUUAGAACAUAGCAGCAGUUCAUUCAAAGGGAAAAGGGGAAAAAAAGAACUCAACAUCUGUACAUCAACCAUUUCCAUCUCUAACUAAUGCACACAACGUUCCCACAUGAACUGCUGGGGUUCCAUCCGUACGAAACAUCCAUCUAUUUUGAUUGGUUCUCCAUACCAACUUUAGUUGUCCAUAUGAUAUUGCAGCAGUCCAUCUAAGAAACCGUACUCAUGGGUAACACUUUCUGGGUAUGGAGUGGCCGCCUUUUCAGACAUUGUUUGCAUUAUCAUCUUAAGUUAUUCAACUCUUGACGAGUAUUCGAGUUUUUAUGGAACCAGUUCAGUUCGAUUGUGCUGUAGGUUUUGCAGACACUACGUCGUUCUCACCCAAGUCCCCUACCUUGCUUUCCAGUUCCGUUGAUUCCUUCAUUGAUUCGAUAUCCAUGCUUGCUGUUCGACUCUUCCGGUUUCUCCGGUCCUGAAGAAUACAGCACAGGUAAACAAUCACGUAUAUGACAAGCAUUCAAGUUGAUAAAACAUGUUGCAGCAAUGGCUGCAGCAGGAGAUCAAGGUUCAGUACAUACCUCACGGAAUGGGUACUCUUCAGCUUCAAGCAUCCGCACAACCUGACUCAUUUUUGGUCUCUUUUCUGAAUCAGGAUCCACACAGCGAAGUGCAAUCAAAAGAGCCCGUUUUAGAGCACGAGUAGCAGGUCUAACUUCAAGAUUUGGGUCCACAACUUCCUCAGCUCUCUUGGUCCCAACCAUCAUCUUAAGCCACUCCACAAGGUUGACCUGUUUCAACGACAAGACAAUCUCAUUUACACCAAGAACGGCUUACUUUGGUUUGCAAGAGUACUAACAAAAAAAGGGUUAUUUGGUGAGAGCAGGAUACCUCAUUAGCAGGUCUUCCAUAAUCCACGGGAUCUCUUCCUGUGACUGCUUCUACCAGAAGAACACCAAAGCUAUAAAUGUCACUCUUCUCAUUCAACAAGCCAGUAUUGGCAUACUCUGGUGCUACAUAUCUGAAUUAAACAAGUAGUCAAGGGCAGGUUAAUUCUAUAUUGUUGUUUUUUUAGGGUAGAAGUUCUAUAUUGUUGUUUGCGAGCAAGAGAAACAAAAAAGAGAGAAAAUAUAGCAUUACCCAAAUGUACCCAUAACUCUUGUCGUGAUGUGACUCUCUCCUGAAUCCAAAAGCUUUGCCAAUCCGAAAUCAGACACCUUGGAAUUAAACUCAUCAUCAAUCAAGAUAUUGCUCGACUUUAUGUCACGGUGAACAACUUUUGGCUCUAUGGCUUCAUGCAAAUAAGCAAGCCUGCAAUGCAAGUCCUUUUCAUCAAAAUGAUUAAGAGCUACCAAUGGUAAAUUCUAACAUGAAUGAAUAUUCUGAUUCACAUAAGAUCCCCACAGUUGGAGGAAAGCAAUAGUACCACAUCCAAUGAUUAUGUUGGAAACAUGGUUAAAAUUUAGAGAAGCUAACUUACGCCUUAGCAGUCCCAAGGAGAACUUUCAUACGAGCCUCCCAAGUGAGGAUACCACGAUGACGCAUCGCCCCAUGAAGCCACUGUUCUAAGUUGCCAUUGUUCACAUAUUCGUACACAAGCAUCCUGAUUUUGCAGAGAAAUUGUUAGAACCCACAGAAAUUCUAAAUACCAAAAUGCUAACACAUAUACUCAUCUCCAGAAAGUGUGCUACGAAGCAAAGGAUGAAACAGGAUACCUAUGAACCCCUUCCAUACAAUAUCCAAGAAGCCGGACAAGAUUUUUAUGCCGAACAUGACCAAUGGCCUCCACUUCAACUCUGAAUUCCUUCUCCGCCUGUCCCCUAAAACAGUGGCAUGCAUUGCAAAGAAGUUUUAAGUGUACAUUAUUGAAUAUAAUACGCCAUCAGCAAAGAGACACACGGUUUGUUUUAAGCCCUGCUUACAGAUUGUUAAGGAUUUUCUUCACAGCUACCUCAGUUCCAUUAACGAGUCUUCCGUUGUAAACAACCCCAUAUCCACCCUCACCGAUCACGUUCUCUGUGGCAAAACGAUUCGUUGCAAACUCAAGAUCCCUAAGAGUAAACCAAUGACCCCAACCCAGAUGAGAAAAUUCUGGUAACCCAAUCAGUGGGGAUGCUGUCACAAGUCCUGGAUAUGAGGAUUGCUUCCUUGCUGUUCCGGAGCUUCCUUCUUCCCCAGAAUGAGAGCUAAAUCCUUUCUCAUGAUGAUAAACUGAGCUACAUUGGCUGAUGUUAUCAUGAUCACUUGACUUGCUCAUUCCCAGAUGACUAAGCAUCUUCUCUGAAUUCUUCUCGCUUGAUUUAUCAUUGAUAGAUAAGAAUAAACUUUCUGGUUUGUCAUUGUAGGUCUGAGCCCCAACCCUGUCAACCCUAAUAUCUUUUGAAACAUUUGGUAUCUGUGUAAAGGAUCCAACUGAUCUUCUAGAUCUCCUACGAAAAGACCAUACUGAUAGGAUGCAAAGAAUCAAAACUAUGAAGGCAGCUACUAAUAUCCCAAUCAGGACAUAUAGUUUCAAACCCAAAAAUGAUUUCUUGGUUAACUCGGCGUUCAAGCUCUCGGACGACAUUGUACUUCUGUGCUGAAGUCCCCUCCUUUCAGGCAGCACAACGACUAGUACAUUGUCCACCUGAAGACCAUAAAUAUUAACCAUACAUUUUGCCAAAAAGGUUUCCAAUUUCACAAAGGAUAACUUAAACAUGAACAUGAAAGGAAAUAUAUAGUCCAACACCAGCUUAAAAGUAGAAUAUGAUUACUAAAUUCAAACCUAGAUUCAGAAAGUAAUAGUCGUCACUGCAUUACCAUUCACAGCUCAAUACAGUGCACCUAAGUUCUUCAUAGAGCAGCAUUAAUCAUCCAUCAAAACCAGAAACUCAAUACUCAAGGAACUGUGAUCCAGAAAUAAAAACCAAGAAGGCAAGAAAAGCAGCAGAACAAGCCACAUCUCAAAAUAAGUAAACAAAAGAAAUAACAGCUCAAAAGAAGCAUCACUUAAGAUCCAAGUAAAGGGCAGAUAAAGAAAUGUGAAUCACUCCGAACCAACAAAAAAAGGAAAGCGAUUGGAAAUCCAAAACAAAGGAAAGUUGAAAAAUAAGAAGAUAGACAUGAAAGAGUUUACCUUGGUGAAGAAAUCUCAAAGAUGGAAGGUAAGUUAGCCUCCUUGAUCUUCUUCCUUGAGGAGCCAGAGGAGGAAAGAAAAAGAAAAGGCUUCUCCUUUAUGAAGCAACUGAGGCUCAAUAAGCAUAGAUUUGGCCAAUGUAGACCCUUAAAACCAACACAAACCCCCAGAAAUCCUUUUUUUCUUUUCUAAAUAGAAUCCCACCACCACCACAGUCUGAGAGAGAGAGAGAGAGAGAGAGAGAGAGAGAGAGAGAGAGAGAGAGAGAGAGAGAGAGAGAGAGAGAGAGAGAGAGAGAGAGAGAGAGAGAGAGAGAGAGAGAGAGAGAGAGAGAGAGAGAGAGAGAGAGAGAGAGAGAGAGAGAGAGAGAGAGAGAGAGAGAGAGAGAGAGAGAGAGAGAGAGAGAGAGAGAGAGAGAGAGAGAGAGAGAGAGAGAGAGAGAGAGAGAGAGAGAGAGAGAGAGAGAGAGAGAGAGAGAGAGAGAGAGAGAGAGAGAGAGAGAGAGAGAGAGAGAGAGAGAGAGAGAGAGAGAGAGAGAGAGAGAGAGAGAGAGAGAGAGAGAGAGAGAGAGAGAGAGAGAGAGAGAGAGAGAGAGAGAGAGAGAGAGAGAGAGAGAGAGAGAGAGAGAGAGAGAGAGAGAGAGAGAGAGAGAGAGAGAGAGAGAGAGAGAGAGAGAGAGAGAGAGAGAGAAGAGUCGUUUGGAAGGCAGCCAAAAAUGUGGGCCAAAAGGACGCAGAAAAGGUGGGGGAGGAAAUGGCACAGAGAUGGGAAAAACUGACAAGCAAACAGGAAUACCCCCAAUCUAACAGAAGCCGAGAAAAAAUGGUGUACAAGGGAAGAGAAGGCAGCUGCUACUACAUAAUAGAUAUGGCCAAAUAGAGUUCAGAAGUAGCAAAAAAAAAAGGGAAAGGGAAGCAGGAACGAGGGUGAAGGUUAGUUGGUGAGUUAUGUGGAAGAGAAAGAGAGAUGUAGCUCUCAGAAAAAGCUGGAAAGAGAAGGAAGCUUGGUUUGCAAUGGAGGAAACCAUAGAAAGAGAAAGAGAGAGUAAGGGCAAGCAGAAAAAUGAAAAGAGGAAGGAAGAGGGUUUGCAUUUAAUUAAUUAACUCGUAGAAAAGAAAAGAGGAACGUAGUCAAAACCCCAGCUGGAGAGAACUCCAAAUCUAGCAAGUUUCCAUAGCCCUCCAUGAGUCCAUGACUAUAUGACAACCAUGCGGCAUGAGAUACUUUGAGUUUUACUUUCCUUUUCUCCUUUUCUUUCUCUUCUGGUUUCUGACGAAAAAAAAUGAGAAGAUGAGGAUGUCAUGCCGUCAUGGGAUGUUGAGAAAAUCUCGGAGCAAAGAAGAGCGGAAGCCUAGAUAUUUUUGUUGACAUAACCUCCAGUGUGAGGCAUGAAUUUUGUUAAUUUGGUGACACAUUCGUAUAACAACAUGCCUAGUUUGCUACGAGAAUGGAGUAUGGGGGUAGC